RNAcentral lists this transfer RNA (69 nucleotides) under Bavayia robusta. RNAcentral's name for it is "tRNA-Ser". Lineage: Eukaryota; Metazoa; Chordata; Lepidosauria; Squamata; Diplodactylidae. The record is from RNAcentral.
GAGGGGCCUGUAUGUACAAGAAUAAACCUGCUAACUUUUUUCUACCAGGACUAACCCCCUGGGCCCCCC